AGAGUUUGGAUCAUGGCUCAGGAUGAACGCUGGCGGCGUGCUUAACACAUGCAAGUCGAACGGUGAACACGGAGCUUGCUCUGUGGGAUCAGUGGCGAACGGGUGAGUAACACGUGAGCAACCUGCCCCUGACUCUGGGAUAAGCGCUGGAAACGGCGUCUAAUACUGGAUAUGUGACGUGAUCGCAUGGUCUGCGUCUGGAAAGAAUUUCGGUUGGGGAUGGGCUCGCGGCCUAUCAGCUUGUUGGUGAGGUAAUGGCUCACCAAGGCGUCGACGGGUAGCCGGCCUGAGAGGGUGACCGGCCACACUGGGACUGAGACACGGCCCAGACUCCUACGGGAGGCAGCAGUGGGGAAUAUUGCACAAUGGGCGCAAGCCUGAUGCAGCAACGCCGCGUGAGGGAUGANGGCCUUCGGGUUGUAAACCUCUUUUAGCAGGGAAGAAGCGAAAGUGACGACCUC
RNAcentral lists this ribosomal RNA (461 nucleotides) under Microbacterium sp. DB2. Its description in RNAcentral is "bacterial SSU rRNA". It matches the Rfam family "Bacterial small subunit ribosomal RNA", at positions 8 to 477 of the family's 1533-position model. Lineage: Bacteria; Bacillati; Actinomycetota; Actinomycetes; Micrococcales; Microbacteriaceae. The record is from RNAcentral.